Molecule: long non-coding RNA, 2084 nt
Filed under: Olea europaea subsp. europaea
Lineage: Eukaryota; Viridiplantae; Streptophyta; Magnoliopsida; Lamiales; Oleaceae
Source: RNAcentral
UUUUCUUAAAAUGUUCUUGUUUUGUCCACUUGUUACAUGAAGUUAGAAUAUGAGGCCUAUUGACCAUAUUUUGCACGUUUAGAUCGUGCCAUUUUAUUGAUUUAUGGGUCAUUGGAAUGAAACAGUUCAAAAAGAGUUGGGCUUAAGGAAGUACAAAAUUUUAUUGGGGUAGUUUAAAAAGUACAUGUAGUCGUUAAUCUAGGUGGGUGAUAGGAAUAUGUUUUCAUUUUUGCAGCUUAAAGGUGUCUGCUACACAUGCUUAUGAUAUUUAUGGUCAUAUUAGCCUCGAAUGUAUAUGCUUAUGACCAACAUUUGAAGUACUCAUAGUUGAAUUGAAAAUAUCAUGGUUUCAGAGGGUAAAGGGAGCUGCUCGUUUUUAUUAAAAGCUAAAAGCUGGGCAUCUUCUUGAUAGGACUCUGCUGGAAGAAAAUAACAACUGAGAAAUAUUAUUUAAUUCUGAAUGAAUUUCACAGAAAUGCGAAUUAUAGCAAACUUCUAAUAGACUUCUCCUCGCUAAUUUCCCCUAACAGACUUUGGCUUUCCACCCACUUGCAGCUUAUUCUUCUUCUGGGUCCUUCUAGAAUGAGUGAGGUGGAUUGGAGCCUAUCAAAUCCCUCAGUUUCCAAAUACAUCUUGUCCUUAAGGUGGGAGUCAGGGAAGUGAUAUAGGCUUUUAUGAUUCCCAUGAAGCUUCAUAUGCUAGUAAGCCUUUUGGGUCAGAUUUUUCUUGUGAAGCUUUUAACAACAUAUUGUGGUCCUGAAUGCGUUGGGCCACUUGCAUUAGAUGGCCAACCCUUUUGGGCUUAAUAACUUGAUUUUAGCCCUAAUAUCUAGCUUUAACCGAUUAAAAAAAGUGUUUUCCGAUACAUCCUCCAGUAUGUCUCUCAAAGGUGCAGCCAACACCUCAUAACUCUUAUCAAAAUUAAGCUACUAUACCGCCUUGAUUUAUUGCCUGGAGCUUCUCAUAGAUACUCUCCACCUAAGUUGGCCGAAAAUGCUGCAAGAUAUGCUGCUUGAAUUGUUGCUAGUUUUGGAAAGGCAUCAUUGCCUCUGUCGAUUGGAACCAUGUUAAGGCAUCAGGAUUAUCUCCACCGAACAUGGGCACUUCCAGUUUCUGGUUCCUCUAGUUCCUUUACUUUGCUCAAGAUCUGCUGUAUCUCCUCCAUAGCUUGCUUUGCCCAAACCUUCAGGACCCUUUCCACAAUCCUUAUUUUUUUUUAUCACCUAUGGGACUAUUGUGAGCGUUUGGGAAUGUUGGUCUCUCCGUGAUGAUUCCAGUUCCUUUACCUUCCAGCUUCCUAUUCAUUGCUGCUUUAGGGAGGGUAAUUGAUGCCACAGAUUUCUAAAUUUUUUCCAUUGUUUUUCCCCUCUUAAGAGACUUUGGUUUUCUACCCACUUGCAGCUUAUUAUUCUUCUGGGUCCUCCUAAAAUGAGUGAGGUGGAAAUUAAGUGCUGGUGUUGCUAAUGAAGGGAUGUAUUGCUCUUCAGUUUCUUAUAUUUUCUUAUGGAUAUACACCUCAUUGACUCGGGCUUGAAGAAGGUAAAUUUUUCCUUUUCUUGUUCUGGAAGUUUGGGAAAAAACUAAUUAUCACUUGCUAAUUAGCUCUUUUGUUAAUUUAGUAGCUUGCACAACAUUACAUUUGCUUGAGACUAGAAGAAUGGCUGCAAUUUAUGACUAGAUUUUAAGUUUUACUUCCUCUGUCUAUGAUUCAAUAAUCUUAUUUGUUCUUUUGCAUUUCCAUUAAUGAUUACUUUAUCGAAAACUAGACAUUUUGUUUGAUGAAUUCCCUCGUUUUAAAGUACUCGUUAGGAUUUUCUUGGAUUCUUAGCUAUUGAUUUUUUAGGGUAAAAACGAAGAGUUUCACCUAACUUUCACCUUUUCAACUUCUAACAAACUCCAAGACAUGCAAUUAUGAAUGGAGUAAUAGUUAAUUUGAAGCUUGAUCAUUAGGAAUCAAUUUCAAAAAAAUAAAUCUAAUCAAGUUCCCAAGUAGCAAGAAUUCAGAAUUUAUUCCAUUUUUAAAAUUACACAUGUUUCUGAUUAGAAAAGUAUUACAUCGACGAUGUUCCAAAUUUUUGAUAUGG